Molecule: ribosomal RNA, 253 nt
Filed under: uncultured bacterium
Lineage: Bacteria
Description: partial 16S ribosomal RNA
Rfam family: Bacterial small subunit ribosomal RNA
Source: RNAcentral
UACAGAGGUCCCAAGCGUUGUUCGGAUUCACUGGGCGUAAAGGGUGCGUAGGUGGCCGGGUAAGUCUGAUGUGAAAUCUUGCGGCUCAACCGCGAAACUGCAUUGGAUACUAUUCGGCUUGAGGGUUGGAGGGGGGACUGGAAUUCUCGGUGUAGCAGUGAAAUGCGUAGAUAUCGGGAGGAACACCUGUGGCGAAAGCGGCGCACUGGACCAUAACUGACGCUGAGGCGCGAAAGCUAGGGGAGCAAACAGG